GCUAAACGCGAAGAACCUUACCAAGGCUUGACAUGGAUUUCUAAGCACGUGAAAGCGUGUGACCCUUCGGGGGACUUCCACAGGUGCUGCAUGGCCGUCGUCAGCUCGUGUCGUGAGAUGUUGGGUUAAGUCCCGUAACGAGCGCAACCCUUGUCCUUAGUUGCCAUCAGGUUAUGCUGGGCACUUUAAGGAGACUGCCGGUGAUAAACCGGAGGAAGGUGGGGAUGACGUCAAGUCCUCAUGGCCCUUACAGGUAGGGCUACACACGUGCUACAAUGGGCAGGUACAGAGGGAAGCCAACCGGCGACGGGGAGCUAAUCCCAGAAAAUCCAUCGUAGUCCGGAUUGGAGUCUGCAACUCGACUCCAUGAAGUCGGAAUCGCUAGUAAUCGCAGAUCAGCAUUGCUGCGGUGAAUACGUUCCCGGGUCUUGUACACACCG
This 440-nucleotide ribosomal RNA is filed under the name uncultured bacterium. RNAcentral's name for it is "bacterial SSU rRNA". It matches the Rfam family "Bacterial small subunit ribosomal RNA", at positions 954 to 1392 of the family's 1533-position model. The record is from RNAcentral.